AGUGGCGGACGGGUGAGUAAUGCAUGAGCAACCUGCCUCGAAGUGGGGAAUAACACAGAGAAAUUUGUGCUAAUACCGCAUAAUGUGUUUUGGAGGCAUCUCCGAAACAAGAAAGGAUUUAUUCGCUUUGAGAUGGGCUCAUGUCUGAUUAGGUAGUUGGUGGGGUAACGGCCUACCAAGCCGACGAUCGGUAGCCGGACUGAGAGGUUGAACGGCCACAUUGGGACUGAGACACGGCCCAGACUCCUACGGGAGGCAGCAGUGGGGAAUAUUGCACAAUGGGCGCAAGCCUGAUGCAGCAACGCCGCGUGAGGGAAGACGGUCUUCGGAUUGUAAACCUUUGUCUUUGGUGAAGAAACAAUGACGGUAGCCAAGGAGGAAGCCACGGCUAACUACGUGCCAGCAGCCGCGGUAAUACGUAGGUGGCAAGCGUUGUCCGGAAUUACUGGGUGUAAAGGGAGCGCAGGCGGGACAGCAAGUUGGAUGUGAAAUACCGAGGCUUAACCACGGAGCUGCAUCCAAAACUGUUGUUCUUGAGUGAAGUAGAGGUAGGCGGAAUUCCGAGUGUAGCGGUGAAAUGCGUAGAUAUUCGGAGGAACACCAGUGGCGAAGGCGGCCUACUGGGCUUUAACUGACGCUGAGGCUCGAAAGUGUGGGGAGCAAACAGGAUUAGAUACCCUGGUAGUCCACACUGUAAACGAUGAUUGCUAGGUGUGGGGGGUCUGACCCCCUCCGUGCCGGAGUUAACGCAAUAAGCAAUCCACCUGGGGAGUACGGCCGCAAGGUUGAAACUCGAAGGAAUUGACGGGGGCCCGCACAAGCAGUGGAUUAUGUGGUUUAAUUCGAAGCAACGCGAAGAACCUUACCAGGUCUUGACAUCCAACUAACGAGAUAGAGAUAUGUCAGGUGCCCUUCGGGGAAAGUUGAGACAGGUGGUGCAUGGUUGUCGUCAGCUCGUGUCGUGAGAUGUUGGGUUAAGUCCCGCAACGAGCGCAACCCCUGCCAUUAGUUGCUACGCAAGAGCACUCUAAUGGGACCGCUACCGACAAGGUGGAGGAAGGUGGGGACGACGUCAAAUCAUCAUGCCCCUUAUGACCUGGGCUACACACGUAAUACAAUGGCCGUUAACAACGAGGAGCAAACCCGCGAGGGGGAGCAAAACUUCAAAAACGGUCUCAGUUCGGAUCGCAGGCUGCAACCCGCCUGCGUGAAGUUGGAAUUGCUAGUAAUCGCGGAUCAGCAUGCCGCGGUGAAUAC
Molecule: ribosomal RNA, 1257 nt
Filed under: uncultured bacterium
Lineage: Bacteria
Description: bacterial SSU rRNA
Rfam family: Bacterial small subunit ribosomal RNA
Source: RNAcentral